CCGUUUUAGAAAUAACAGCACUUCUUGUACAUAGUCCCCCUCCCCAUUUUAUGGGACCCGCAAGUAUUGUGUGCAUGAUUUUCAUAUGCACAUUUCAAUAAUAACGUUUUUAGUUUCUCAAAAUCAUUGUCAGGUGGAUUAAUCCUAAAAAUCGGAAUUAAAAAGGAUUGUUUUUCAAGUGGAAAGUCAACCCAUUCUCCUGCCGUAUGGACACAUUGAUACACCUGGAUCGGUCGGCAGCUAAAGGAAUUAGCUCUGGGAACUCAUAGCUUGUAGGCCAAUGCAGCAGUAGGCCUAUCACUUUCCAAGUUUCUGACAGAGAUUUUCAUCUACAUUUCUUACAUUUGAAUGAUUUUAAGCACACGCUCUUAUCCAGAGCGGCUUACAUCUCCAGAUAGUUUAGUGGACCAGUCAUAGUCAGUCCAUUCAUCUCCAGAUAGCUAGGUGGACCAGUCAGUCCAUUCAUCUCCAGAUAGCUAGGUGGACCAGUCAUAGUCAGUCCAUUCAUCUCCAGAUAGUUAGGUGGACCAGUCAGUCCAUUCAUCUCCAGAUAGCUAGGUGGACCAGUCAUAGUCAGUCCAUUCAUCUCCAGAUAGCUAGGUGGACCAG
This 609-nucleotide long non-coding RNA is filed under the name Salmo salar (Atlantic salmon). RNAcentral's name for it is "lncRNA (ENSSSAG00000099209.1)". The record is from RNAcentral. Lineage: Eukaryota; Metazoa; Chordata; Actinopteri; Salmoniformes; Salmonidae.